GAUGAACGCUGGCGGCGUGCCUAAUACAUGCAAGUCGAGCGAACAGACGAGGAGCUUGCGCCUCUGACGUUAGCGGCGGACGGGUGAGUAACACGUGUAUAACGUACCUAUAAGACUGGGAUAACUUCGGGAAACCGGAGCUAAUACCGGAUAAUAUCUUGAACCGCAUGGUUCAAUAGUGAAAGACGGUGUUGCUGUCACUUAUAGAGGGAUCCGGGCCGCAUUAGCUAGUUGGUAAGGUAACGGCUUACCAAGGCAACGAUGCGUAGCCGACCUGAGAGACUGAUAGGCCACCCGAGAGCGGAGACAGCCACCAUGCGACUGAGAGAGGCACCAGUAGGGAACCGUAGGCAAUGGGCGAGAGCAUGACGGAGCAACCGCGCGUGAGUUAUGAAGGUCUUCCGAUCGUAAUACUCUGUUAUGGGGGAAGAACAGAUGUGUACGUUACCGUGCACUUCUUGACGGUACCUGAUCAGAAAGCACCGGCUAACUACGUG
RNAcentral lists this ribosomal RNA (497 nucleotides) under uncultured bacterium. RNAcentral describes it as "partial 16S ribosomal RNA". It matches the Rfam family "Bacterial small subunit ribosomal RNA", at positions 28 to 507 of the family's 1533-position model. The record is from RNAcentral.